GGGCGCUUAGCACAGUGGUAGGGCGCACGCUUUGCAUUCGCUUAUACGACGAAUACAUAUUCUGCGUGAGGUCGAGGGUUCAAUCCCCUCAGCGUCCA
This is a non-coding RNA of Panaeolus papilionaceus, 98 nucleotides long. Lineage: Eukaryota; Fungi; Basidiomycota; Agaricomycetes; Agaricales. The record is from the annotation of a GenBank genome assembly.